GGGUAGAGGUGCUGUAAUAAAUAGUAGAUAUAAUGAGUCUGGCAGACUUUGAGUUAUGUUGAAAGGUGUUAUGGCCGAAGAAUCAGUUAAAGCCAAUAUCUGUUUCUGGGUAUUCAUAGAAUAUGUGGAUAACUGUCACGAAAGU
RNAcentral lists this non-coding RNA (145 nucleotides) under uncultured Clostridium sp. RNAcentral describes it as "Lysine riboswitch". It matches the Rfam family "Lysine riboswitch aptamer", at positions 7 to 155 of the family's 182-position model. Rfam says of the family: Riboswitches are metabolite binding domains within certain messenger RNAs that serve as precision sensors for their corresponding targets. The record is from RNAcentral. Lineage: Bacteria; Bacillati; Bacillota; Clostridia; Eubacteriales; Clostridiaceae.